GUCUAAGGCCACACCACCCUGAACUCGUCCCAUCUUGUCUGAUGUUGAAAGCUAAGCAGGGUCGGGCCUGGUCAGUACUUGGAUGGGAGAAGGGGCUGGGGAGGCU
Molecule: ribosomal RNA, 106 nt
Organism: Capra hircus (goat)
Lineage: Eukaryota; Metazoa; Chordata; Mammalia; Artiodactyla; Bovidae
Source: Ensembl